AGUAAUAGAUUCGAGGAGUUGACUUGGUUUUUCGAAAGAGAUCGUCCAAAGUGACAAUCGGUGUAUCAAGUUUCUCUGGUAGAGGAGGUGGGGGAGGCAAAGGAAGCCGUUCUCUUGCUGAGGAAGGGGCAGUCAAAGGUGGUGGAGGUGGAAGAGAAGGAGGUGGCGGAAGCUGCUGCUGCUGCUGCCUAGGUUGACGGGGUGAAGGCUGCGGCUGUGAGGUGGAUGGGGCAACAGGAACAGCGGGACCGCUACUGAUGGGUGUAGCAGGAGUCUGAGGAAUCUGAACCCGUGUUUGCACUUCCUGGGGAUCAACAAACUCGGCCACUAAAAGGCGCCCACCGUUGGGAGGCCACUGUAGGUUAUACAC
Molecule: long non-coding RNA, 370 nt
Filed under: Prunus persica (peach)
Lineage: Eukaryota; Viridiplantae; Streptophyta; Magnoliopsida; Rosales; Rosaceae
Description: long non-coding RNA (PPER_LNC006323)
Source: RNAcentral